RNAcentral lists this ribosomal RNA (253 nucleotides) under uncultured bacterium. RNAcentral describes it as "partial 16S ribosomal RNA". It matches the Rfam family "Bacterial small subunit ribosomal RNA", at positions 524 to 776 of the family's 1533-position model. The record is from RNAcentral.
GACAGAGGGGGCAAGCGUUGCUCGGAAUUACUGGGCGUAAAGGGCGCGUAGGCGGGAUGGCAAGUCGGUCGUGAAAUCCCUCGGCUCAACUGAGGAGCGUCGAUCGAAACUGCCGUUCUUGAGGGUUGCAGAGGAGACUGGAAUUCCCGGUGUAGCGGUGAAAUGUGUAGAGAUCGAGAGGAACACCAGUGGCGAAGGCGAGUUCCUGGACAAGUCCUGACGCUGAGGCACGAAAGCCAGGGGAGCAAACAGG